ACGACUAACGGCUGAGCUUCCUAUCUAUUCAUUUGCGUCCGACCUAGGUUCUUUCAUGUGAACGACAACCUAGCCAGCUCUGGUUAGAGAGAAAGAACUAUCCUACUACCUUCGAGUAGUUCUUGUGCGCGCUACGGAUGGAUCAUGUCGUCCGUGUCCGACAAAGUAGUGAAAAGAAAAAAAAACCCUCCAACCCGAACGAGCUAGGCAAACCGGAGGGUUGAGAGGAACUCCGGUUAAGCGCGCUACAAACAUAUGUCCUUAAUUCGUCCAUGGGCAGAAGAAGUCUAGUGGCUUUUUCGGCGGAAUAACUUCAUUCUUGGGAAAGGAUAAUAGGAACUAUGGGCGCCAAGUAAGACUCUGUAGGCGGAGUUUGACGCCCCUGUUUGAGCGUCCUCUUCUACACAAAGGACGUGGCAGGCUAUGUUAGCGAUCAAGGUCGAUUUAUGUGUUCUAAGUAAAACAGAUACUAGCCUAAAGGCCUGCCAUUGAUACAGAUUUGUGAAGUGCACUUAGGAAUAAUUUCGAAAGAUAAAUCAAAACAUCUACCCGAAGUAUAUAAACGGCUUGAAUCAUUAAGGGUCUGGCGCGUGUGUAGUUGCAUACAUACUCGACGAAUUUCUGUUCCUCACCUCGUGUCUAAAAAGUUGUGUUUGUUGUUACUGAUAAAAUAAAGUGUGUGGAACGAAUCGGUGCAACG
Long non-coding RNA from Varroa destructor (honeybee mite), 700 nucleotides. RefSeq lists it as uncharacterized. Lineage: Eukaryota; Metazoa; Arthropoda; Arachnida; Mesostigmata; Varroidae. The record is from RefSeq and is a predicted model, not a curated record.